Molecule: ribosomal RNA, 505 nt
Filed under: uncultured bacterium
Lineage: Bacteria
Description: partial 16S ribosomal RNA
Rfam family: Bacterial small subunit ribosomal RNA
Source: RNAcentral
GACGAACGCUGGCGGCGUGCCUAAUACAUGCAAGUAGAACGCACAGUUUAUACCGUAGCUUGCUACACCAUAGACUGUGAGUUGCGAACGGGUGAGUAACGCGUAGGUAACCUGCCUGGUAGCGGGGGAUAACUAUUGGAAACGAUAGCUAAUACCGCAUAAUAUUAAUUAUUGCAUGAUAAUUAAUUGAAAGGUGCAAUUGCACCACUACCAGAUGGACCUGCGUUGUAUUAGCUAGUAGGUGAGGUAACGGCUCACCUAGGCGACGAUACAUAGCCGACCUGAGAGGGUGAUCGGCCACACUGGGACUGAGACACGGCCCAGACUCCUACGGGAGGCAGCAGUAGGGAAUCUUCGGCAAUGGACGAAAGUCUGACCGAGCAACGCCGCGUGAGUGAAGAAGGGUUUCGGAUCGUAAAGCUCUGUUGUAAGAGAAGAACGGGUGUGAGAGUGGAAAGUUCACACUGUGACGGUAUCCUACCAGAAAGGGACGGCUAACUACGUG